UUUGCAGGUUCAUCAUAUCAUCAUUUGGUUACAUCAAGAUCUGGGGAACAUGGAGGAGUGUGCCCACCUUUUAUACCUGUGGGCGGGGAAUCAGGAAAAUAACCUGGAGCUGCUGUGACCACUCUAGGAUAUUACCCCCAUCCAUCCUCAACUUGGGAAAGUCAACGGGCGGAAGAGCGCAUGCGCGAAGUCCAUUUCAGCUCCGCCGUCGUCGAGGAAGGACCUGUUUGCCGUAGCUCCGCUGUAGAGGCCUCUGCCGGUCGGGUAGGCCUCGGCUUCGGCCUUGGGGGUCCAGGUGUGCUCCGGAAGUCGUCGUCCAGCGGCUGCAUCUCCGGAGCGAAGAUCCUGGCGGCGUUGGGGCUCCGGCGACGGCUGUUCAUCAUAUCAUCAUUUGGUUACAUCAAGAUCUGGGGAACAUGGAGGAGUGUGCCCACCUUUUAUACCUGUGGGCGGGGAAUCAGGUAAGGAGGAGUCUAUGGGAGGAGCUGACCAGGUGGGUGUCUGGGUUAACCCUUUCACUACUGAGCUAUAGCUGAUCCCUGGUAUAGUCAGAGCAUUUACACCUG
Molecule: non-coding RNA, 566 nt
Organism: Pantherophis guttatus
Lineage: Eukaryota; Metazoa; Chordata; Lepidosauria; Squamata; Colubridae
Source: RefSeq, a predicted model, not a curated record